AGCGUAGCGAUACGUUGAGCUAACCCAUACUAAUUACCCGUGAGGCUUAACCAUACAACACCCAAGAAGUGUUCUG
Molecule: ribosomal RNA, 76 nt
Filed under: Aeromonas caviae
Lineage: Bacteria; Pseudomonadati; Pseudomonadota; Gammaproteobacteria; Aeromonadales; Aeromonadaceae
Description: partial 23S ribosomal RNA
Source: RNAcentral